CGCGUAGGCGGCUCUGCAAGUCGAAGGUGAAAUCCCUCAGCUCAACUGAGGAACUGCCUCCGAUACUGCAGGGCUUGAGUUCCGGAGAGGGUAGCGGAAUUCCCAGUGUAGCGGUGAAAUGCGUAGAUACUGGGAGGAACACCGGUGGCGAAGGCGGCUACCUGGACGGAUACUGACGCUGAGGCGCGAAAGCGUAGGGAGCAAACAGGAUUAGAUACCCUGAUAGUCC
Molecule: ribosomal RNA, 229 nt
Filed under: uncultured bacterium
Lineage: Bacteria
Description: partial 16S ribosomal RNA
Rfam family: Bacterial small subunit ribosomal RNA
Source: RNAcentral